Molecule: long non-coding RNA, 4911 nt
Organism: Leopardus geoffroyi (Geoffroy's cat)
Lineage: Eukaryota; Metazoa; Chordata; Mammalia; Carnivora; Felidae
Exons: 4
Source: RefSeq, a predicted model, not a curated record
GCCUGGCUCGCCCGAGGGCGGGCGGCUACGGGCCCCUGCUGCCGAACGGAGGCCGUCCGCUUCCCCCGGCCUCUCUCCGCGGGCCCUACCGCGCCGCCCGCUCCUCUCCCGGGGGUUUCAGUUGCCAGUGCCAAAAGGCAGUCAGGAAGCAGAUCGUCCUGAUUUAUGGCCAGAAGGUCAAUAGCCUAAGGCUAUCUCACAAUGCCUCUGUCAGUCACUUCUCUUCAUCUCAUCGUGUAGGCAGUAUCUCAUCUCACAUCAUCGCAGGAAGGGUGUGAGUUUGUAAGCCCCAUCCAAUCCAUGUUUCAUCGUAUGGACAAGAAAGCUGAUGAGGUAAUUUACUUACCUAGGACUGGAAGAUAAAUCUCCUGGUUGCCUCCCACGAGGGCAGAAGUAGCUGGAGUCAGCCUUCCCUCUAAUUUGAGUUGAGUCAGACACCUUGGAAUAUCUCAACAUAAUCUUCCUCUCAAUUCCCACAACCACCCUUUACAGAGGAAACUUGGGAAUAUUUGAAACUCCCCUCUUCUUUCUCCUCCCACACCACGUCAGUCACCUAACUUGUUAAUUGGCCUCCCUGCCUCCAUUCCUGUCCUCCUCCAAAUCCUCUUCCUCGCUGGAAAAGAGGUUUUUCGAGAACAUUAGUCUAAUCAUGUCACUGUCUGGCUUUAAAAUCCGUCUGUAACUCCUCCGUUGCCUUUAGGUUAGAUCUAAGUCAACUUCCUUUGCAUAGCACACAAAGCCCCUCAUCACCUGGGUGCUGUCCCCUGGUCAGGACCCUGUGCUCCAACCAGAUCAAAUUACCCACAGGGCUUUGCACACACAGUGCUGCCUGUAUUUUGUCCUCUGUAUUUGCUAUUUGCACUACUCCAGCACCAGCUAACUCCCACUUAGACUUUUCGUCCCACUUCCAGCUGUGAUCCUCUCAGGAAAACCUUUUUUUUUUUUUUUUUUUUUUUUUUUUUUUUUUUUUUUUUUUUGGCGUGCCCUGGCUGCAUUCCAGGUCCUGCUCUGCACUUCUGUAGCAUCCUGUGCUUUCUUUUAAGAACAUCACCUUGCCAUGGUGGGUUUUUGUUUUUUGUUGCUGCGUUUUCAAGUUGUGUUGGAUUUUUUUCCAUUUGUCUCCCUCCUGGAUGGUGUGGGAACUCCCUGAAGCCUAACCAGCCACUGUGUCUGUGUCUCCAGCACCUGAAACCACAGCACACAGGAGGCGGGGCAGCGAGGGUUUGAUGAGUAAAUGAAAUUAGACUAAAGAGUUGAAGGUUUGAGGACUUUUUUGGACAGAAGUUCUCCCUUCCCUUGUAGGAAGGGGACUUGAUGUAAAUGACAACUCUAUAGUACUCCUUCGACAGAUGCCCAGUAGAAGCUAGCGCUGCCUGGGGCUGAUGGAGCUUCCCGGGAACCGAGCCCGGUGUCUGCUGCCCUGGCUGGGUCACGACACAGGACCUGCUUGGGCUUGGCCAUCCGCGGGCUGGUGUGUGCACGCGAACGUGGGGGCGGAUCGGUGUGUGUGCACGCGCCCCGACCGAGGUGUGUGUGUGUGUGUGUGUGUGUGUGUGUGUGUGCGCGAGAGAGAGAAAGCGCGCGUCCGUCUGUCCGCGCGAGCACCUCGCCCACCCCGCCUGCUCCCGCUGGGAGGAUAAUUAAAGCGCCAAACGGCGGAGCUGGCCGGCAGUGUUCCCGGGGGCGCAUUUCAUCGGGGCUGAUUAAUGAGGCCGGGGAGUUAAUGAGGAGAAAGCUAAACGGAGGGAGCUGAGCAGCGGAAGCCAUCUCCGAGGCCCCGGAGGGGGCCCUCCGAAGGCAUCUCCCGCCCUCUCUUUUCAGGAGAGGCUUAGCGCAAGCCACAUGGUGCCCCUGGCUCCAUUCACCGCCUCCGGCCGGGGAGAGGAGGGGUCGCUGCCGGCGCACGCUGGCCACAGUGGGGGACUCGCUUCUCCUUCCUCCGCGUGUGCCUAACCUGGCUAAACAGAAAAAGAACCUGCCCUUGCCAACCACAACACAACAAAGGACCCCAGAAGAUCGACCGCCCCUUUCUUUUCACCUUGAGGAACGUUUGGUUUUGAACCUGGGGUAGAGAGGCGCAAUGAGGGAUGGAGAUCCUGAACAGAGAGGACAGGCAGUGUGAUGGCCUCUCCAUCGAUCUGUGGCCUUGUGUCCUAACCAUGCUGAUAGAGAAGAACAGAAAAUGGCCUCUUCAUGAGCCCCCUGUACCUACCCCUCCGGGCACAUACUUCUAUGGUCAGACUACAGACACCCCAAGUGUCCUCUGUGCCCCCACAAGUGGCAUACGAGCAGUAGCCAGUAGCCUCAGUUUUAAAGGCUGGAGCGUGGCACAAUGAGGCUGGACUCAGAAGAACCAUGUUACAGUAUGACUUUGCCAUGGACCAUCCGUGUGAACCUGAGUGAGUUGCUUGAGGACGCCGAGCCUGCCAGUUGGGAAUGAUAACGGCCAUAUACCUAUUUCAUGGGACUGAUGUAAAAGGACAGGCGCGAAGCUUUCCAUUUAAAAGCCUUUGUAACUUGAUGUGCUCUGUAUCUGGAAAUGGCUGGAAGGAGAGUCCAGGUCACUUCCCCCUGGGGUGUGCCAGGCGGGUCUAACAAUGGGCAACAGCGCCUGAGCUCCCUGAUGAACACACCUCCCUUACCCCAGUAAUCUGACUUUGGGAUCUGCAACUCCAUAUUGAUUUCUUCCAGUCAAGAGUGAUGUGAGACCAGAAGCCAACCAGCUCCGACAAAGUCUUGGUGAGCUUGAAAUGAGCCAGUUUCCUCUGGAUGAGUUUCUUCUGCUGAAUCACGGAAAUGGAGGCUGCCCAGGCCAACGAAAACCAAAUCUGUCUGCCCUGUCUUGUCAGACACCUCCACCUUCCCCACCAACUGGAUGCUGAAGCCCCCAGCCCUCGCUAAUGUUCCACACCACCCCCCUCACUGUGGGAGCUGGCCAGCACUGGCAAAAGGGGAGCAUCAGUAAUUUUCUCCAAAGGAGCUUGUGCCUAGAGAAACCAAUAUUUAACAUCCCCAUUUACAUUGAAAGCGUGAUUCUGAUUAUGAGAUGGUAAUGAGGGGAUUAGCCAGAGAGAGCCCCCCUGCCUGCCGCCCCCUCCCAUUCUUCUCUCCUUCACCCUGCUCCGUGGGCUUACUCCUGGAGGAGGACGUGUGGGGGGAGGGUGCGGGCACUCCCACUGGGAGAGCAUCAGAGAUGCCAGAGCAGGGCAGGGGUCCUCCAAGACCCCUUCUGAGGACCCCUUAUUCAUGUCUGGAAUCAAUUAGCCUUAGAAGAGGUGAUGGGUGAGAUGUGAGACACCUCACUCUGAGGGCCCUUCCUUUCAUUCUUUACCCUAGACUCUGCUGAGACCCUCUACUCUCUGGUUCUGUUCCAUAUUUCAGAUGGGGGAACUUCUUAGGUCACGCUUUCCCUCUGAGGUAGAGGAGUGAAGUACAAAAGUCUGUUGGGAGAACUUUUGCUUGGCUCCUGGCUUCUCUGACUUCAUCCCAAACCCAGCCUCCUCCCCUAAAUCGCCUGCCUCUCUGGACCGGCAUCCUUGUUGUCCUUGUCCCAGACCCUGCCUUUUAACCAGGCAGCAGUUUAUCUCUGGCUGUUCUUGUGGGGUGAGGGGUGGGGGAAGGAGAGAACCCAAGGGGGUCACCCAUCCUGAGGCCCCGUUUGUUGGUGGACAAUUGCGCUCAGACAGGAUAAUUCAGUGUGUGAUUGUGGUCACGCCCCCCCUUUUGUGCCCCUUUCAGAGCCAAUCUCCCAGGCCCAGAUGGGUUAAUCCAUAAUGCAGACGAGCAAGUAAUUGGCUGUCAGCCCAGCCCCCUGCACCCCCUCCCCUAUUAGUGCCACUGCCCUAAUGAAGCCCAGCUUGGAGAGCCCCCUUCUCAAUGAGGCGCCAGCCCCAACCCAGCCAGGCACACAUGUGUCUCCGCUCCUCUGCCUGAAGCCUGGCUCCCUUUAGGGACCCCCAGCCCAGCCUCCCCGGGGUGACCCAGCUGCCAGGGCUGCAGCGGCCCCGGGGGGAGGCUGUGAUGGAUGGGAGGGAGUUAGUUAAUAGAGCCCAAAACACAUGGGCCCUGUCCCCACACCGACCCUCCCCCCUCACACACACACUUUUACAGCUUCCUCUGACAGCAGCCCUAGCCUUUUGAAAUAGUCCCAUAGAAUAUUUCCUCACUCCCCUCUCCAACCUAAGCUGUGCCAAAACAGGGCCCAAAAGGGGGCCAUGAAGCUGCUUCUUUGGACACUGGCCCAAGUCAUUGCUGUUCACACUAUCCCCAACCUCUGCCAAUCUAGGUCUUCUUGUGGGUUUUGGGCAGAGAUGGCUCAUGGCAAUGUUAAAAAGGGGAACUUGGCCCUCAGUCUCCAGUGUCUCCACUGUUAUUAAAAUCAUAACGAGAGAUUUCUUUUCCUUUGAUUCUUGGAUUCCAUCUCUGUUCCUUGAUCCCAUUUCUCUUCCGAACCACUUCCUGACCAAUACUUCAGCUAGAGACAAAGCUAGGUCUGUAGCAGAUAUCCACAGACAAGAGCUGUUCUCUUUGUUGGAGCUGCCUCAUCAUGGACUAGGCUUCCCUGCCAGCCUUUAAGCUCCCUGUCUCUGGAAGGAUUCAAGCCAAGGCUGGAUAAAGUCUGUUUGAAAUGUCAUAGAGGGAGGUUUGGGGAGGAUAUUUGCAAAGGGACCUACCACUCUUGGAUUCCUUGCAUUUAUGUCCUAUUCCCUCAUCUCUGUUCGCUCCUUUCCCCCAUGAAGAGAGUGGUGGCUUUGCUGGGCCUUUUUCCAAACCAGUGGAGGAAAGUUGAGAUUGGCUGCUGCCUGGGUUGGGCUGCUCCUACAUUCAUGCCCACUGAAGCAGGGGCUUUAUGUCCUGAGGAGAGUCCUGGACCCAUAACCUCCCUGUCUUCCUUCCUCUACUUAACACUUU